RNAcentral lists this ribosomal RNA (254 nucleotides) under uncultured bacterium. Its description in RNAcentral is "partial 16S ribosomal RNA". It matches the Rfam family "Bacterial small subunit ribosomal RNA", at positions 524 to 776 of the family's 1533-position model. The record is from RNAcentral.
UACAGGGGGGGCAAGCGUUGUUCGGAAUUACUGGGCGUAAAGGGCUCGUAGGUGGCCAACUAAGUCAGACGUGAAAUCCCUCAGCUUAACUGGGGAACUGCGUCUGAUACUGGAUGGCUUGAGUUUGGGAGAGGGAUGCGGAAUUCCAGGUGUAGCGGUGAAAUGCGUAGAUAUCUGGAGGAACCCCGGUGGCGAAGGCGGCAUCCUGGACCAACACUGGCGCUGAGUGAGCGAAAGCCAGGGGAGCAAACGGG